Molecule: ribosomal RNA, 387 nt
Filed under: uncultured bacterium
Lineage: Bacteria
Description: bacterial SSU rRNA
Rfam family: Archaeal small subunit ribosomal RNA
Source: RNAcentral
GCGAGAAAACUUUGCAAUGCGCGAAAGCUCGACAAGGUUAAUCUGAGUGGUUCCUGCUAAAGGAACCUUUUGUUAGUCGUAGAACCACUGAUGAAUAAGGGGUGGGCAAGUUCUGGUGUCAGCCGCCGCGGUAAAACCAGCACCUCAAGUGGUCAGGAUGAUUAUUGGGCCUAAAGCAUCCGUAGCCUGUUCUGUAAGUUUUCGGUUAAAUCUAUGCGCUCAACGUAUAGGCUGCCGAAAAUACUGCAGAACUAGGGAGUGGGAGAGGUAGACGGUACUCGGUAGGAAGGGGUAAAAUCCUUUGAUCUAUUGAUGACCACCUGUGGCGAAGGCGGUCUACCAGAACACGUUCGACGGUGAGGGAUGAAAGCUGGGGGAGCAAACCGG